GACCUGUCAGCUCAACUGGUAGAGCACUGCACCAGCAUGGCAGAGGUCAGGGUACAAGUCCCUGUCAGGUCU
Molecule: transfer RNA, 72 nt
Filed under: Acropora cervicornis
Lineage: Eukaryota; Metazoa; Cnidaria; Anthozoa; Scleractinia; Acroporidae
Description: tRNA-Ala
Rfam family: tRNA
About the family: Transfer RNA (tRNA) molecules are approximately 80 nucleotides in length. Their secondary structure includes four short double-helical elements and three loops (D, anti-codon, and T loops).
Source: RNAcentral